UUACACAUACACUUAACCAUCCAUCUCAGCAAUUCAGCUCUCAGAUACCAACCCAAGAAAAAAUCAUACGCCUGCAAAGUCUUACACUUGGAUGCUCAUAUCUGCAUUAUUCACAAUUGGCAAAAACUGGGAACGACCCAAAUCACCAUCCACAGGUCAACGGAUAUACCGCAGCCCUUCCAUAUAAUGGAAUGCCAACCAUCAAAAAAAGGAACUCGCCAUCAAUCUAUGCGACAAUGUGAACGGAUCCCAAAAACACAAUGCUGAGCAAAAGAAGCUAGACAUAAAGGAGUUCACACUGGAUGAUGCCACUAACUGAAACUCUAGAAAUGACCAAGCGCAUCCACAGUGACAGCAAAUCAGCGGUCGCCCGGGCCCUGACUGUAUAGAUGGAGGGUGUUCUCCUUAUGGGUGCCUAUGUUCCUUUCUCUCUUCUUAUAAGGACACCAGUCGUUGGAUUAAGACCCACCCCAACCCAGUAUGACCUCGCCUUAACUCGAUUACAUCUGCAAAGACCCUACUUCCAAAGAAGAUCACAUUCACAGGUGCCCAGAGGUAACUCCCGGCCUCUGCCUCCUUCCUGCGUGUCUAACCAGCCACCUGCUUGCCACGAGCUCAUCGCCCACCACAGCGACCCAGCACGUGGGCACAUGGCUGCAGAGACAAGCAGAAUUUCCAGACCCAAGAAAUGAAAAGACUUUCCAGGACACGCAAUGCACAACGGCCCGUUAAAAAAAUA
Molecule: long non-coding RNA, 739 nt
Organism: Neofelis nebulosa (Clouded leopard)
Lineage: Eukaryota; Metazoa; Chordata; Mammalia; Carnivora; Felidae
Exons: 3
Source: RefSeq, a predicted model, not a curated record